Molecule: small nucleolar RNA, 79 nt
Organism: Sorex fumeus (smoky shrew)
Lineage: Eukaryota; Metazoa; Chordata; Mammalia; Eulipotyphla; Soricidae
Product: small nucleolar RNA U105B
Exons: 1
Source: RefSeq, a predicted model, not a curated record
CUGUGUGUGGCUGGUGACAGUGCAGCUGCUGAGACAUGCUGAUUGUUCAGCCUCAAAGUAAAGUUUUGACGCACCCUAA